CCGCUUCAUGUCGUCACCCGGAGAGGCGGGGCUCCUUAACCCUUGCCUGCCCCGGCGUGGGCGCGGUGGCCGGCAGGGAGAAGCUGGUAGGGGCGCGCCAGCGGCGGCGGAUACCCCGAACCUGCCCUCCUAGAGGGAGGCCCGGGGGUGACGACCCCCAGCCCGCCCACGCCUCUCCCCAGAGGUUCUAGGUAGCGCACCUGUGGAUAACUAGGGAAACUGAGGCCGGGAGAGGCCCCAGAGUGCUGGGUUCGAAUCCAAGGAGCGGGUGCGGAGGGAGGAGGGCUGCGCCGGGGUUUUCUCGCCGCGGGGAGGCUGUUUUCCUUCUGCUCUGACCUUAGCUGGGAGCGGCGGGGUCAGGCCGCGGUUCCAUGACGCGGGGGCGCGGAGCGAGGUCGCCCGGACUGCGGGACCGCGCGUCCGCCCAAGGGUUGGACAGGCUCUGCGUGAGGGCAGCUUGCCUGGCCGGUGAGGGCAGCUUGCCUGGCCGGUGAUUUGGCUGAAAAGAGUGAGAUGAGGAAGUGGAAAAGGGAAGUGCCCUCCACGGUGAGAGGUCACCGCGCCGGAGUUUGCCCAGAUCCCACACAGUGUUUCAGUCUCCCUCUGUCCAUUUUCUAGAUGGAGAAACUGAGGCCUGGAGCCACCAAGGGGCUGCCCAGAAACUACAAACCCUUCAUCCUUUGCCAGUUUUAACAGUAGAGUGUUAUUAAUAGCUCUUUGGAUGGAGAAAUUGAGCCACAGAGCUGAGACAGCAUUCGAAGCCUGGCCUGCCUAACCCUGGGAGGCCCCAAACCCGGCCAGGUCACAGCUGGAGCAUCACCCCCUCCAGGAAGCCCUCCCUGACCAGCCAGAUAAACGUUCUUGGAGCACCCUCCUCUCACCAGUACACUUUCACAUUUACUGUCAUGAUUAUUUGAUCUGCAUCUGUCUCACCCACCAGCCCCUUGAGGGCAAGAGCAAGUCUGCCUUGCUCCCAGCUGUGACCUUAGUACCUGGCACUCAGAAAGUGCCCAAUAAAUGCUUGUGA
Molecule: long non-coding RNA, 1027 nt
Organism: Equus quagga
Lineage: Eukaryota; Metazoa; Chordata; Mammalia; Perissodactyla; Equidae
Exons: 4
Source: RefSeq, a predicted model, not a curated record